GGCCACGGUGAGAAGAAUCCCACGUCCGAAUGUUCGAACGUACUACAGUCCCCGACCGGCUCGAAGGCACGGUCCAUAGCGACAAGAACCACACACAAACCACAAGAACCACGACUCAACAAAUGACUAAACAACACCAACAUGACGACAACUCAGAGUAGCACAUUUCCACAGCAUCAAAAGAAGAUAGACCGGCACGAAGGCACGGCACAGGCAU
RNAcentral lists this long non-coding RNA (217 nucleotides) under Sorghum bicolor (sorghum). RNAcentral describes it as "long non-coding RNA (SBIC_LNC003470)". The record is from RNAcentral. Lineage: Eukaryota; Viridiplantae; Streptophyta; Magnoliopsida; Poales; Poaceae.